This is a non-coding RNA of Podarcis lilfordi (Lilford's wall lizard), 73 nucleotides long. The record is from the annotation of a GenBank genome assembly. NCBI's taxonomy places the organism in Eukaryota, Metazoa, Chordata, Lepidosauria, Squamata, Lacertidae.
GCAUAGCUCAGUUGGCUAGAGUGAUGUACCGAUUAUGCCGAGGUUGCAGGUUUGAUCCCUGUAUGGGAAAGCU